RNAcentral lists this ribosomal RNA (1333 nucleotides) under Natrialba chahannaoensis. RNAcentral describes it as "bacterial SSU rRNA". It matches the Rfam family "Archaeal small subunit ribosomal RNA". Lineage: Archaea; Methanobacteriati; Methanobacteriota; Halobacteria; Halobacteriales; Natrialbaceae. The record is from RNAcentral.
GCUAGUUGUACGAGUUGAGACUCGUAGCAAAUAGCUCAGUAACACGUGGCCAAACUACCCUAUAGAUCCAGACAACCUCGGGAAACUGAGGCUAAUCCGGAAUAGGGCUCUCAUCCUGGAGUGGAGAGAGCCUGAAACGCUCCGGCGCUAUAGGAUGUGGCUGCGGCCGAUUAGGUAGACGGUGGGGUAACGGCCCACCGUGCCAGUAAUCGGUACGGGUUGUGAGAGCAAGAGCCCGGAGACGGUAUCUGAGACAAGAUACCGGGCCCUACGGGGCGCAGCAGGCGCGAAACCUUUACACUGCACGCCAGUGCGAUAAGGGGACUCCAAGUGCGAGGGCAUAUAGUCCUCGCUUUUUGCGACCGUAAGGUGGUCGCGGAAUAAGUGCUGGGCAAGACCGGUGCCAGCCGCCGCGGUAAUACCGGCAGCACAAGUGAUGACCGCUGUUAUUGGGCCUAAAGCGUCCGUAGCUGGCCGCACAAGUCUAUCGGGAAAUCUCUCCGCUUAACGGAGAGGCGUCCGGUGGAAACUGUGUGGCUUGGGACCGGAAGACCAGAGGGGUACGUCUGGGGUAGGAGUGAAAUCCCGUAAUCCUGGACGGACCACCGGUGGCGAAAGCGCCUCUGGAAGACGGAUCCGACGGUGAGGGACGAAAGCUCGGGUCACGAACCGGAUUANAUACCCGGGUAGUCCGAGCUGUANCGAUGUCUGCUAGGUGUGACACAGGCUACGAGCCUGUGUUGUGCCGUANGGAAGCCGUGAAGCAGACCGCCUGGGAAGUACGUCCGCAAGGAUGAAACUUAAAGGAAUUGGCGGGGGAGCACUACAACCGGAGGAGCCUGCGGUUUAAUUGGACUCAACGCCGGACAUCUCACCAGCAUCGACAAUGUGCAGUGACGGUCAGUAUGAUGAGCUUACCUGAGCCAUUGAGAGGAGGUGCAUGGCCGCCGUCAGCUCGUACCGUGAGGCGUCCUGUUAAGUCAGGCAACGAGCGAGACCCGCACCCUUAAUUGCCAGCAGCACCCUUGUGGUGGCUGGGUACAUUAAGAGGACUGCCAGUGCCAAACUGGAGGAAGGAACGGGCAACGGUAGGUCAGUAUGCCCCGAAUGUGCUGGGCGACACGCGGGCUACAAUGGCCAAGACAGUGGGAUGCAACGCCGAAAGGCGACGCUAAUCUCCGAAACUUGGUCGUAGUUCGGAUUGAGGGCUGAAACUCGCCCUCAUGAAGCUGGAUUCGGUAGUAAUCGCGCCUCAGAAGGGCGCGGUGAAUACGUCCCUGCUCCUUGCACACACCGCCCGUCAAAGCACCCGAGUGGGGUCCGGAUGAGGCCC